Symphalangus syndactylus (siamang) is the source of this 2570-nucleotide long non-coding RNA. RefSeq lists it as uncharacterized. The record is from RefSeq and is a predicted model, not a curated record. Lineage: Eukaryota; Metazoa; Chordata; Mammalia; Primates; Hylobatidae.
AGAUGAAGAGGACCUCGCCCAAGGACACACAGAUACCGGGCUGGUCUUGGGUUUGGAACGUGAGGUUCCUGCCUUUCAGCCCCGUGCUCUUUCAACAGCAUCUUACACAACUUACAGAAUGGUGGGGGAAGCAGGAAUCGCACCUGCAAAACAAUGACGGAACCGUGAGGGGGCAGGGCUCCCAUUGCUGGUGACUUCCCACCCACAGUGGCUGCCAGUGCCUUUAUGUUGUUUACUUAAAUGUGCUUGUCUGGAGGUUGUCAUUUUCUUUUGAGACACUGAGAAUUCCCAUAAUUUUUUUAAAAAGUUCAGUAAAAUUGAAUUUCUACAUUUUUGCCCAAUUUUUUUUUCCUUUUUUGUUAUUUUUAAUUUUUUUUACAGAGUCUCGCUCUGUAGCCCAGGCUGGAGUGCAGUGGUGCAAACUCCUCCUCCUGUAUUCAAGUGAUUCUCCUGCCUCAGCCUCCCGAGUAGCUGGGACUACAGGUGCGCGCCACCAUGCCUGACCAAGUUUUGUAUUUUUAGUAGAGACGGGGUUUCACCAUGUUGGCCAGGCUGGUCUCAAACUCCUGACCUCAGGUGAUCCACCUGCUGCGGCCUCCCAAAGUGCUGGAAUUAUAGGCAUGAGUCACCUUGCCUGUCCCAUUUUUGCCCAAUUUGUGUCUCCUCAGUGUAUGAGUGUGUGUGUUUUGUGGGGGGCAGUCUGUUCCUAUAGGUUGGUCUGAUAUGGGGCUCUCUCUGUGUGUGCUUUGAUGGGGGCACAGCAACAGGAGAUGGUGGAAAUAAGGCAUGGAGAGGCCGUAUUGUGCCAUCAUACCUUACCAGGACACUCUGUGCCUGGAGGGGGAACGGGAGGGGGCCAGCCAUGCCAGGCUGAGAAAUGGCUUUCUUAACCCACAAGUGCACAGGCCUUGAAGGCUCAUGACUUAGGAUCAUUGUCACCCAUUCAUUCAUUCACUCAAAUCUGGAAAGCAUUCAAAAUAUAAUUUUUAAAAAUCACCUCUGGGGAAAAGUCUGGUGUCAGGUUCAGAAAGGAUUUGUUUCAUAUCCAGGGCCAUGUCUGGGUUGUGUUCUCUGCUAUCCAGGAACCCGAGGGCUCUCAUUCAGCCUCAAGGGCUAUGGAAUUGACUCCUGGUAGGUGGCUCUAGCACUGACUCUGGGCCCUCAGGGUCGAGGUUGCGGUGAAGACUGUGGUCCGCAUCGCCUCCUGCCCCAGAUUGGAUUGGAGGGAGCCAGUUUGAAGACCUGGUGCCAUAAGCCUACUGAUGUGGAACGCUGGAAGCAGAAUGCAGCUAUGGAUGGUGCUCGGAGGAGCUGUGCCACCAACCCCACACACACUCACACCAGUUCUGGGCCUCGGGCCUCGGAUGGGCUGGGGGGCCCAGUUGUGCAGGAGGGCGGGGGGCAAAUGGCGGGGGCCUUGGUCUUGGCUGCCAUGGCCAGAGGUGGGGCGGGGGUGGGGGGAUGGGGGAUGGAGGCCUCAGUCCCUGCCCUCACUAGGUGGCGGGAGCAGGAGGCAGGCUGACCCACUUAGAGACUGGCUCCUUUCAAAGCAGCGUGGUUGUGACGAGGGCUGCUUUAAGUGGGUCAGCCUGCAUAUACACAUUGGUCUUAAACUCUUCAAAACUUGGCUGUUAAACAUCUAGAUCCUGUUUUCAUUAGCUUGUAAGCCAUGGCCAUGGGGACCUGCCUGGUCUUCUGAAGCAGCAAGUGUGUCCAGAGGCUAAUAAACAGCAGGUGCCUCCAAUAAACAGGAUUUUAAUACUCGAUGUAAAUAUGGAUGCAAAUACAUGAAAAGAAAGGUGGGAUCUGAAUUAUAUGUGCAAGUUACACAAUUGCUCAGACGUUUUGCACUGAGAACUGUAGUGUGACUGUGGGUACCAUGUGUGUUUUACAGGUGCAGGACGUGUGUACAGUGUGGGAGAGUGUGUUUUUGCGGAUGGACAUGUAUGUGGUGUGUAGUAGGGAGCAUGUGUGUCUGCGUGUACGUGUAUGUGUAUGAAGAGAAGACUCCACCACCAGAUUGGGUGGGGACAGAGCCAGCUACUUAAUUUGCAGGGUCCCAGUGUAAAAGAAAAACAUGGGGCCCUCAUUCAAAAUUACCAGGAAUUUCAACACAGAAACAACAGAGCAUCACCCCAAACUGGGGCCUUUCUGAGCACAGGGUGGGUCUCACGCCCACGGAGGAGUGCACCUCCUUGUCUCCCUCCAACCUUCCCAUGCCACUUUGGAAGGCCCCUGGGUCCCCCUUUGCUCUCUCCCCACCAGCUUCCCAGGGUGGCCUUGACCUUGGCAGUGUGGGGAAGUGGCCAAGGUGGGCUGGCAGAGUGGCUGAGGGCUGUGCUGGUCUUACCCUUUCCCGACCCUCCUCUUCCAGCCUGGGCCUCACUAGGGGAACCCCAGUCCGUAAGGUGUCUCUUGCCCUGGGCUGUUGGUUCAAAAAGGCUCCUCUGCAAGCUGCCACUGUGUUCUGGGAAGUCGUGAGGCCGCAGGAACAAUCUAAAGCAAACGUGUCCAGCCCGCUUUGAAUGCGGCCCAACACAAAUUUGUAAACUUUCUUAAAAACAUUAUAA